This 699-nucleotide ribosomal RNA is filed under the name Phapitreron amethystinus (amethyst brown-dove). Its description in RNAcentral is "partial 12S ribosomal RNA". It matches the Rfam family "Bacterial small subunit ribosomal RNA", at positions 521 to 1508 of the family's 1533-position model. Lineage: Eukaryota; Metazoa; Chordata; Aves; Columbiformes; Columbidae. The record is from RNAcentral.
UCACACAAGAGACCCAAAUUAAUCGUACGCGGCGUAAAGAGUGGACCCAUGAUUAUCACAACGAUUAAGACCGAAGUGUAGCUGAGCUGUCAUAAGCUUAAGAUACACCUAACCCCGCCCUAAAAACGACCUUAACCCCUAUGAUCAAUUAAACUCCACGAAAGCCAGGACACAAACUGGGAUUAGAUACCCCACUAUGCCUAGCCCUAAAUCUUGAUGCUUACUGCACUAAAGCAUCCGCCCGAGAACUACGAGCACAAACGCUUAAAACUCUAAGGACUUGGCGGUGCCCCAAACCCACCUAGAGGAGCCUGUUCUAUAAUCGACAACCCACGAUACACCCGACCACUUCUUGCCAGAACAGCCUACAUACCGCCGUCGUCAGCUCACCUUUCCUGAGAGCACAAUAGUGAGCAUAAUCGCCCUAACCCCGCUAGAAAGACAGGUCAAGGUAUAGCCCAUGGAGUGGAAGAAAUGGGCUACAUUUUCUAACCUAGAAAACCUACUUAACGGAAGGAAGCAUGAAACACUUCCCGAAGGCGGAUUUAGCAGUAAAGUGGGACUAUAAAGCCCCCUUUAAGCCGGCCCUGGGGUACGUACAUACCGCCCGUCACCCUCCUCAAAAAGCUCUAGCUUCUUAUAAAUAAUGCACCCCCAACGCCAAAGAUGAGGUAAGUCGUAACAAGGUAAGUGUACCGG